GUGUGUAAGGGUUGGAGACUCAUAAGUGAUUUGAAAUCAUUUAGUUCGCGUUUGGAAGUGAUACACA
This 67-nucleotide transfer RNA is filed under the name Paramphistomum leydeni. Its description in RNAcentral is "tRNA-Ser". The record is from RNAcentral. Lineage: Eukaryota; Metazoa; Platyhelminthes; Trematoda; Plagiorchiida; Paramphistomidae.